GAUGAACGCUGGCGGCGUGCUUAACACAUGCAAGUCGAACGGACAGGCCCUGCGUUUGUUGGGUUCUCGAUUGGCGAACGGGUGUGUAUCACGUGUGUAACCUCCCCUUGUCUUUCGGGUAACUUUUGGGAACAGGGGCUAAUAUCGGAUAGAAGCUCCUGCUGCAUGUGGUGGGAUGGUAAGUUUCGGCGGUUUGGGAUGGACUCGCAGGUUAUGCGCUGGUUGGUGUGGUAGUGGCUUACCAAGGCUUUGAAGGGUAGCCGGCCUGAGAGGGUGACCGGCGACAUUGGGACUGAGAUACGGCCCAGACUCCUACGGGAGGCAGCAGUGGGAAGUAUUGCACAAUGGGGGGAAGUCUGAUGCAGCAACGCCGGGUGCGGGAUGACGGCCUUCGGGUUGUAAACCGCUUUCGACUGUGACGAAGCGUGAGUGACGGUAAUGGGUAAAGAAGCACCGGCUAACUACGUG
This 468-nucleotide ribosomal RNA is filed under the name uncultured bacterium. RNAcentral's name for it is "partial 16S ribosomal RNA". It matches the Rfam family "Bacterial small subunit ribosomal RNA", at positions 28 to 507 of the family's 1533-position model. The record is from RNAcentral.